Passer domesticus (house sparrow) is the source of this 1589-nucleotide long non-coding RNA. RefSeq lists it as uncharacterized. The transcript has 3 exons. Lineage: Eukaryota; Metazoa; Chordata; Aves; Passeriformes; Passeridae. The record is from RefSeq and is a predicted model, not a curated record.
AUCUUUGUCUCAGGCUGGGUGGAGCCAGCUCGUGGAGAAUAUCCAGCUUGGGGUGAGACUGUGGUUUACAUCUUUCUUCCAAAAUCCACUUUCACCAGUUGAACCUGAAUGGAAGCCUUUUCCAAGUAAAAGCUGUUUACAGAUCCUGAGCUAUCUGCAAAUCUUGGCAGCUGGGCUGGGGAGGAAGGUACUUCAUCAGUUCAAAAGCUCAAGGCAAAAGGACAUUCCUGGGAGAGAUUCACCAAGUCGGGGGAGGAAAGAGCAAAAUGCAAACACGGCUGAUCCUCAGUGAAUUAAAGCUUCCCCCAAAGGCUGUCACAAAUAGGGACAUGCACAUUUAGCUUUGCUUCUUGGGAUUCUUCUUCCUUAUGCAUCAUAUGCUAAUUAUCUCACCAGUCUGCCUGCAACAUUUGAUUUGGCAUUUUCCCCGUUUCUUGCUUGUAAAUUUCCAUCAUAGAAGAGAUAGGGUGAAAUUAUUAAUGAAAAUGUAUCCACAGGUGUCUUUCCAAAGGAAAGGAGCAGGGUUAGCGUGUGAAACAGAUCCUGCCUUCAGAUUUCCUUUUAACACAUACCAUUUAGUUCUGAACCCCACUAAUUUGCAUAGGCAAGAGGAUAAAAGCAGCAGCAAACAUCUCAGCUGGUUCUGAAUUUCACCCCACAGACAGAAUGAUAUAUCUGCUGCUCCUUUCUCUGUGUGGCUCUCUGAGGAAGCAGACAGCACGGUGUUCAUUUGCUGCUCUUGGUUCUUUGCAAUGGCAUCCCAACAAGAGGAUUCCCCAAUGAACCCCGACACAGCGAGGGGGAUUCCUUUGAGAAAAACUCUCUAGUGCUGAGCUGUUGUAGAGAAAGAGGGACUAAAUCAGCAGUAGAGGAAUGAGGUGAAUUAGUGGUGGACACAGUGGAGCUGGGUUAAAGUUUGGACUCUACAAUCUUUCCUUAAUGACAUAGCCUUAAUGGCUCUGUGAUUCUGUGAAUUGUGGCCUUACACUAUUUGAUGUUUGGGCUGAAUUUUGUGUGAUGGAGCCCCCCCAUCAUGACCACUGCAUGCUGGAGCAACGAGGAGAAGGCAAGAGGAGGUAUCAACGAUGUCACCAACAGCUGAGAGGAAACAAAGGACUUAUCACACAAUACCCCAAGGUGCAAGGGAUCCACAAGGAUCAAUGAGUCCAGCUCCUGGUCCUGCAGAGACACCCCAAAAAUCUCACCCUGUGCCUUAGAGCAUUUUCCAAACUCUCCUGGAGUUCUGGCAGCCCUGGGGCUGUGAGCAUUCCCUGGAGAGCCUGUUCAGUGCCCCCCUACCCUCAGGGUCGAAUUGAAUGACAGCUUUUAAGAGAGACAGGCCUAAGUUUUCCAGUCUCUGGAAUCUUUUAAGGGAUUGUUUAAGUCAUCUCAAGGCUGUGAAGGUGUUGGAGCUUGAAUUUGAAUCAGCUCUUCCUAAAGAGUGGCGGGACUUCCCACGCGGUUUUUGCAGCGAGGCUGGUGCGCUGCUAACCCCGACUGCUGCCUUGCUGCCAGGAGUGUCAAGAGGCCAUCAGCAGGGCUGAGCAGAGCCCUGGUAGCUCUCAGGCCACCACUGGUGAGUCGUGCUG